Nerophis ophidion (straightnose pipefish) is the source of this 369-nucleotide long non-coding RNA. RefSeq lists it as uncharacterized. Lineage: Eukaryota; Metazoa; Chordata; Actinopteri; Syngnathiformes; Syngnathidae. The record is from RefSeq and is a predicted model, not a curated record. The transcript is spliced from 5 exons.
CACCGAGUUUAUUUGAUCUGGAUGUGACAAGUCUUGUUUUAAGGCCCAGUGGAUCAAUGAUUGGAAAGACACCAACUGUUGAUGUUCUAUCUCAACAUUCUCCAGAUUCAUGUGAGCGAUAAACCGACUUCAUCCCUCCAACAGACACCAACUGUUGGGGUUCUAUCUCAACAUUCUCCAGAUUCAGAUGUGAGCGAUAAACCGACUUCAUCCCUCCAACAGAAACCAACUGUUGAGGUUCCAUCUCAACAUUCUCCAGAUUCAGAUGUGAGCCAUUAACUGACUUCAUCCCUCCAACAGAAACCAACUGUUGAGGUUCUAUCUCAACAUUCUCUAGAUUCAAAUGACAGCCAUAAACCGACUUCAUCC